UCGAGCGGAUGAAGGGAGCUUGCUCCUGGAUUCAGCGGCGGACGGGUGAGUAAUGCCUAGGAAUCUGCCUGGUAGUGGGGGAUAACGUCCGGAAACGGGCGCUAAUACCGCAUACGUCCUGAGGGAGAAAGUGGGGGAUCUUCGGACCUCACGCUAUCAGAUGAGCCUAGGUCGGAUUAGCUAGUUGGUGGGGUAAAGGCCUACCAAGGCGACGAUCCGUAACUGGUCUGAGAGGAUGAUCAGUCACACUGGAACUGAGACACGGUCCAGACUCCUACGGGAGGCAGCAGUGGGGAAUAUUGGACAAUGGGCGAAAGCCUGAUCCAGCCAUGCCGCGUGUGUGAAGAAGGUCUUCGGAUUGUAAAGCACUGUAAGUUGGGAGGAAGGGCAGUAAGUUAAUACCUUGCUGUUUUGACGUUACCAACAGAAUAAGCACCGGCUAACUUCGUGCCAGCAGCCGCGGUAAUACGAAGGGUGCAAGCGUUAAUCGGAAUUACUGGGCGUAAAGCGCGCGUAGGUGGUUCAGCAAGUUGGAUGUGAAAUCCCCGGGCUCAACCUGGGAACUGCAUCCAAAACUACUGAGCUAGAGUACGGUAGAGGGUGGUGGAAUUUCCUGUGUAGCGGUGAAAUGCGUAGAUAUAGGAAGGAACACCAGUGGCGAAGGCGACCACCUGGACUGAUACUGACACUGAGGUGCGAAAGCGUGGGGAGCAAACAGGAUUAGAUANCCUGGUAGUCCACGCCGUAAACGAUGUCGACUAGCCGUUGGGAUCCUUGAGAUCUUAGUGGCGCAGCUAACGCGAUAAGUCGACCGCC
This 816-nucleotide ribosomal RNA is filed under the name uncultured Pseudomonadaceae bacterium. Its description in RNAcentral is "SSU rRNA". It matches the Rfam family "Bacterial small subunit ribosomal RNA", at positions 62 to 873 of the family's 1533-position model. Lineage: Bacteria; Pseudomonadati; Pseudomonadota; Gammaproteobacteria; Pseudomonadales; Pseudomonadaceae. The record is from RNAcentral.